This 381-nucleotide ribosomal RNA is filed under the name uncultured eukaryote. RNAcentral's name for it is "partial 18S ribosomal RNA". It matches the Rfam family "Eukaryotic small subunit ribosomal RNA", at positions 592 to 976 of the family's 1831-position model. The record is from RNAcentral.
CAAUAGCGUAUAUUAAAGCUGUUGCGGUUAAAAAGCUCGUAGUUGGAUUUCUGUCAAGGUCAACUGGUCCGCCCUCCGGGUGAGCACAUAGUUUGGUCUUGGCAUCUUGCUGGAAACUGUUGCUGCGCUUGGUUGUGUGGUGCAGCUUUCAGCACUUUCACUUUGAGGAAAUUGGAGUGUUUCAAGCAGGCACAUGCCUUUGGACACAGUAGCAUGGAAUAAUUAGAUUGGGCUUUUGCUCCAACUUGUUGGUUCCUGGAGCUGAGGUGAGAAUCAAUGGGGAUUGUUGGGGGCAUCCGAAUUUAGCCGUCAGAGGUGAAAUUCUUGGAUCUGCUAAAGACGGACAACUGCGAAAGCGUUUGCCCAGGAUGUUUUCAUUGA